UACGUAGGGUGCGAGCGUUAAUCGGAAUUACUGGGCGUAAAGCGUGCGCAGGCGGUUCGUUGUGUCGGCGGUGAAAGCCCCGGGCUUAACCUGGGAACGGCCGUUGAAACUGGCGAACUGGAGUGUGGCAGAGGGGGGUGGAAUUCCGCGUGUAGCAGUGAAAUGCGUAGAGAUGCGGAGGAACACCGAUGGCGAAGGCAGCCCCCUGGGCUAACACUGACGCUCAGGCACGAAAGCGUGGGGAGCAAACAGG
This 253-nucleotide ribosomal RNA is filed under the name uncultured bacterium. Its description in RNAcentral is "partial 16S ribosomal RNA". It matches the Rfam family "Bacterial small subunit ribosomal RNA", at positions 524 to 776 of the family's 1533-position model. The record is from RNAcentral.